AACGCACAUUGCGCCCGCCAGUAUUCUGGCGGGCAUGCCUGUUCGAGCGUCAUUUCAACCAUCAAGCCCCAGGCUUGUGUUGGGGACCUGCGGCUGCCGCAGCCCCCUAAAAGCAGUGGCGGGCUCGCUGUCAUUCCGAGCGCAGUAGUUACAUCUCGCUCUGGGCGUGGCGGUGGGCACCUGCCGUGAAAUACUCUUUCUAAGGUUGACCUCGGAUCAGGUAGGAAUACCCGCUGAACUUAA
This 243-nucleotide unclassified non-coding RNA is filed under the name uncultured Ascomycota. RNAcentral's name for it is "sequence contains 5.8S rRNA gene, ITS2, 28S rRNA gene". The stretch from base 1 to 52 matches the Rfam family "5.8S ribosomal RNA", at positions 103 to 154 of the family's 154-position model. Lineage: Eukaryota; Fungi; Ascomycota. The record is from RNAcentral.